Molecule: unclassified non-coding RNA, 159 nt
Filed under: soil metagenome
Description: partial internal transcribed spacer 1
Source: RNAcentral
CCGAGUUGACAAACUCCCUAAACCCCUGUGAACAUACCACUAACAGUUGCCUCGGCGGGGAGCGAGCCCCUUCCCGGGGAAGGAGCGGGACAGGCCCGCCGAGGUACCCUAAACUCUUGUUUACUAUAGGUACUUCUGAGUAUACCAUAAAUAAAGUCA